This 407-nucleotide ribosomal RNA is filed under the name uncultured bacterium. Its description in RNAcentral is "partial 16S ribosomal RNA". It matches the Rfam family "Bacterial small subunit ribosomal RNA", at positions 30 to 526 of the family's 1533-position model. The record is from RNAcentral.
AUUGAACGCUAGCGGGAUGCCUUACACAUGCAAGUCGAACGGAGUGGCGAACGGGUGAGUAAUGUAUCGGAACGUGCCCCGUAGCGGGGGAUAACUACGCGAAAGCGUAGCUAAUACCGCAUACUAUUGGAGCGGCCGUUAUCGGAUUAGCUAGUUGGUGGGGUCACGGCUCACCAAGGCGAGGAUCCGUAGCGGGUUUGAGAGGACGGCCAGCCACACGGGAACUGGGACACGGCCCAGACUCCUACGGGGGGAAGCAGUGGGGAAUUUUGGACAAGGGGGGAAACCCUGAUCCAGCCAUCCCGCUUGGGCGAUGAAGGCCUUCGGGUGUUAAAGCACUUUUGGCAGGAAGGCGGUACCUGCAGAAUAAGCACCGGCUAACUACGUGCCAGCAGCCGCGGUAAUUC